AUUGAACGCUGGCGGCAGGCCUAACACAUGCAAGUCGAGCGGAUGAAGGGAGCUUGCUCCUGGAUUCAGCGGCGGACGGGUGAGUAAUGCCUAGGAAUCUGCCUGGUAGUGGGGGAUAACGUCCGGAAACGGGCGCUAAUACCGCAUACGUCCUGAGGGAGAAAGUGGGGGAUCUUCGGACCUCACGCUAUCAGAUGAGCCUAGGUCGGAUUAGCUAGUUGUUGGGGUAAAGGCCUACCAAGGCGACGAUCCGUAACUGGUCUGAGAGGAUGAUCAGUCACACUGGAACUGAGACACGGUCCAGACACCUACGGGAGGCAGCAGUGGGGAAUAUUGGACAAUGGGCGAAAGCCUGAUCCAGCCAUGCCGCGUGUGUGAAGAAGGUCUUCGGAUUGUAAAGCACUUUAAGUUGGGAGGAAGGGCAGUAAGUUAAUACCUUGCUGUUUUGACGUUACCAACAGAAUAAGCACCGGCUAACUUCGUG
Molecule: ribosomal RNA, 484 nt
Filed under: uncultured bacterium
Lineage: Bacteria
Description: partial 16S ribosomal RNA
Rfam family: Bacterial small subunit ribosomal RNA
Source: RNAcentral